AAAAAUUCAAAAUUACUCACUCAACUACUACAUCUACCCACCAAUCGACAUUUGAAAUGCGACAAAACGAGCCGCCAGGAAUGCCACGUGGCACAAAGACGCUGGCAUGGUUUAUGGAUCGUACGGGCAUUUUUGAGAAGCAGCAGCAGCAAAUGAUGCAAGUUAGGCGGAAUUCAUCGUCUGAUGGUGAGUUUUACGGUCAAAAUGAGUUAAAAAACGAGAAAUUUGGCUGAAAAUGAGUUAAAAAUCGAGGAAAAAUGCCUGUAAAUGAGCCAGAAGUCGAAAAAAUUGACCGAAAAUAAGUAAAAAAUCGUUGAAAUUUGUUGAAAAAUGGCCUGAAAGUCGAGAAAAUCGGCUGAAAAUGAGCCAAAAAUUUGGAAAAUUUGUGGAAAUUUUGGAUUUUCGGUGAUUUUUUCCACCCAAAAUUGAGUUUUCAUCACAGUUUCCGCCUGAAAAUCAGGUUUUACUAAAAAUUUCUAUUUAAAUUUCCGAUUUUCAGUCAGUUUUCGCAACAACCGAAAAUUCGAUUUCAAAGCGUUUUCCCAUUGAAAAAUUCGCUUUUAAGCACAUUUUUCGACCGAAAAAUGCGAUUUUCAGCCCUUUUUCUAUAUGAAGUAACAUUCUUGUAGGAAAAUUGGAGUUUCAAUACUUUUCCGCCGAGAAAAGUAGCUUUUUGUUCAUUUUUCUAUGUGAAAAUCUAUUUUUUAGACAGUUUCUUAUCUGGAAAAUCCAAUUUCAAGCACUUUUUCAGUUCAAAAAUGCGAUUUUCAGAACUUUUUCCUUCUGAAAAUGUGCUUUUCAGCACUUUUUCUAUAUGAACGUUGGAGUUACAAUACUUUUUCGCCGAGAAAAGUAGCUUUUUGUUCAUUUUUCUACCUGAAAAUCUAAUUUUUAGGCAGUUUCUUAUCUGGAAAAUCCAAUUUCAAGCACUUUUUCAGUUCAAAAAUGUGAUUUUCAGCACUUUUUCCUUCUGAAAAUCGGGGUUAAAGAGAUUAUUCGCUAUAAAAAAUCCAAUUUUCAUAGAUUUUAACCCCGGAAGCUUUGAUUUUGGAAGCUUUUUCAGUGCAAAUAUUGCAUUUUCCGCCCAAAACCUGGAUUUUCAGUCAUUUUUUCCCUAUUUUUCCUCCAAAAACCCUCAGAAACAACAGUUCCUCGACACCAUAUUUUCUUCUUUUUUUUGGAAGAUUUUCUUCAAGUGAUCGCCUGCCUGCCUGUCUUCUUCUUCUUCGUCGUCGUUUUUUCCCAUAAUUUCUCUGUUUCUCUCUCACUCUCUCUCUCGGUGAAGGGGUUGGAUAGUGUUCUACCAGCAGAAGCAUCCUGGAAACUGGAUUUUCCAUCCUUUUUCCGCGACUUUUUCUCGUCAUUAGAAGAAGAAGAAGAAGAAGUUCCUGGUUUAGGCUUCUGCUGCUGCUGUUAUAUCACUUUUUGGUCGGGAUUUUUCGACGUUAAAAGCUGAAAAAACGAGAUUUUCAACCUGAAAAACUUGAAAAUUUGGUCAAAUUUGAAGUUUUUAGAGCUAAAAAGAUCAAAAAAGCCUCCUUGAAUUGUCUGAAAUUCAAGUUUUCCACCUGAAAAUUUCAAUUUUCCACCUGAAAAUCGAAGCUUUUCAUCUUGAAAUUGCCGUAAAUCAAAAAAAAAAUUAAAAAAUUCCCCAAAUUUUGAUUUAAAAGAUUAAAAAAUUAAAAAUUCGCCGCAGCUUCAAAUUGCUAUUUUUGACUGAAAAUCUAAGCUUUUUGGAAAAAAAAUUACACAUUUUCGCUAAAAUGUAAGAUUUUCAGCUUGAAAUUCACAUUUUUUGAAAAAUAAUUCGAAAAUUCUGAAGAACUGAAAAUAAUUCGAAAAUUCGAAUUUCAACAAUAUUUUUGGCAUUUUUGUCUGGAAAUUUGCCUUUUAAUUGAAAAUUUUCCAGGAAAUUUGAAUUUUCCCUCAGAAAUUUGAAUUUUCAGUAGAAAUUUUGAAUUUUCAGUCAAAAAUUUGAAUUUUUAGUCAUGAAAUUUGAAUUUUUAGUCAUGAAAUUUGAAUUUUUAGUCAGAAAUUUGAAUUUUCAGUAGAAAUUUUGAAUUUUCAGUCAAAAAUUUGAAUUUUCUGUCAAAAUUUGAAUUUUCAGUAAAAAAUCUUAAUUUUUAGUCAAAAAUUUUUAAAAUUUCAGUCAGAAGUUUUUAUAUAUUUCUUUUUUUAAUUUUUAAAUCAAUUUUUGAGUUAAAAAAUUGCAUGUUUUGCUGAAAAUCUGAUUUCCAACACAAAUUUCGCCCUAGAAAUGCUAUUUUUUGCUAGAAAAUCGACUUUUUUUGCUGAAAAUUGGCCACAAAAUUUUGAUUCUAACUUUUUUUUUUCAAAAUUUGACCUUAAAAAUUCGAUUUUUUAACCGUUUUCCCCCUGAAAAAUCCCGCAAUUUAUUCAAUUUUCAUUCUUCAGACUCAAAAUCGACAACACCAUCGGCUCAGCAACAAUUUCAACAACAACAGCAACAGCAGCAAAAAAAGCAAAAACGAUAUCGAAAAACGUUGAGUCAACAGGGAACCACACGGAAAGAAGCAUUCGGUGGAAGUCAGGCUAUGAGUGAAAGUUCAGAAGAAGGCACAGCUAUUAUUUG
This 2593-nucleotide small RNA is filed under the name Caenorhabditis elegans. RNAcentral describes it as "Unclassified non-coding RNA F53H2.7". Lineage: Eukaryota; Metazoa; Nematoda; Chromadorea; Rhabditida; Rhabditidae. The record is from RNAcentral.